RNAcentral lists this long non-coding RNA (211 nucleotides) under Nicotiana benthamiana. RNAcentral's name for it is "long non-coding RNA (NBEN_LNC011598)". Lineage: Eukaryota; Viridiplantae; Streptophyta; Magnoliopsida; Solanales; Solanaceae. The record is from RNAcentral.
CUUUGUUGGUGAUGAUCUAAUAAUUAACUUGCCUUGAUAACAAGAAGUGCAAGAAAAUUCAUUAUUUAAAAGAAUCUUUAAAUUCAUUAAUGGAUGCCAAUUUGAGUUUUCUAUUAUCCGUCUUAUCAUAAUUGAUCCAGGAUGUCCAAUCGAUCAUGCCAAAGUACGAAAGUAUUGGAAUCAGUAACCUUUUGGUUUACGGUAGAAUNNN